AAAUAAGAAGUAAAUAUUACAUUUAAUUUCGACUUAAAAACUUGGUGUAAAAACACCCUUAUUUA
RNAcentral lists this transfer RNA (65 nucleotides) under Zaitzevhydrus formaster ulanulana. Its description in RNAcentral is "tRNA-Arg". Lineage: Eukaryota; Metazoa; Arthropoda; Insecta; Coleoptera; Dytiscidae. The record is from RNAcentral.